Molecule: long non-coding RNA, 4842 nt
Filed under: Homo sapiens (human)
Lineage: Eukaryota; Metazoa; Chordata; Mammalia; Primates; Hominidae
Description: non-protein coding lnc-C12orf49-10:1
Source: RNAcentral
AGUAACCGUCAAGAAGCCAUUCAAGCAAGGCUAGAAAUAAAGAAGCUGUUUCUUCACCGUCCCCUCCUCCUCCUCUCACUUCCCUCCCCAUGGGUACCUUUUGAAAGUCUCACAAAGCACUUUGAAAAAACUACUUGGACCAGUAUGCUGGAGGGUUGACUGAAGGUGGCCCCUCCGCUGGGCUUUAAGCAAACAGAUAAAUUCUGGAAAGGACUCUGCCCUGCCAGCCUGGCUGUGGCCUUCGGAAGGCCCCUCCCAACAUGCCCCCACCCGCCGAUCACAUGGACUGUGUCUUACAAGUUUCCCACAGGUCUGACUAGUGAAAGCAGAGGCUGUGGGGACUUUUGUGGUUUUUCUAGGGUGUGGCCCCACUUUGCCUUCACCAGGCCUGAGUAUCUAUGCCGUGCAGCUUGCCUGCUUCUCAAAGGUCAUGAUUUCCACCCUGGGGCUGGGAGGCAGCUACAUAUUCCUACCCGCUGGCACAGGAUCUGGCCCUGCACUCCCGAGAGGUGGCUGCGAGCCUUGCGGAGGCAGAGAGAGAACAAAAUGGAAAGGAAUCUUCCUCCCGGAGAGCCAUCUUCUGUGCAUGCCGGUGCCUGCAAAAGACAGGCGAGGCGAGACAGCUGCACCUCGGGCCUCGUCGCUGUUGCUGAGAAAGAAAGGAACAAAUAAAUUUAGCUCCAUCCUACGCAUCCUUUGCAGCUGCUGAUUGACCAAACAGAAAGAGGCCUCUAUUUCAACCCUGGCUUCUCAGCUUUUUGCCUGAUGGGGUCUGCUAUCGCCCUUUACAAGGGACUUUUGAAGGAGGAAACGGGCCGUGGCCUUAUUUAGCGCCUGGCCGGCUGGAGGCUGCACAGACAGGAGUUCAAGUUUAGGGUGUCUCUUCUUGCCCAUCCCAAAGCAAAAUGGUGGCCCGGAAACGUUUCCAAAUGGGCUUCGGCUCCUGGAAUUUCCAAUGUAUUUAUUUGGAAGCCAGAACAUGGUGGGUGGAGAGAUGUGUAACUGUGCCGAGGCCAGCCUAUAGCUCCCGAAGCCAUUAGUUUAAUAGCACCAUUUGUGGAAAUAAAGAACUCGCUGACUGGGCUUGAAGGUAAAAGACUGGAACGAAGCACUGAGGGGGUUUCGUGGGGCUCACUAGCGUGGAGAGGUCCCUGCGGGAUGGGGGACAAGCUGUGUGGACUUUGAGUCAGAUAGACUUGGGUUCCAGUCCUAGCUCUAUCACCUAAAGGCACGUUGUCUCUGGACAAAGAGAGCCUUUGCUCUGUGAUAUGUAAGUGAAAUGCUAGCUGUGACACUGAACCUCUCUGAGCCUCAGUUCCUUAUCUGUAAAACAGCAAUGAUGACACGAGGUCGUCACAAGGAUUAAAUGACAAAGAAUACUGAACCUACAUAGCCCAGCUCUUGCUGUGCCAUGAUGGUGUAGAGUGGCCCCUGUUUGACCUGCCCAGGCCCAUUCUCCAAAGAAGCUGUACAGGUGAGGUGGCUCACCCCUGUAAUCCCAGUACUUUGGGAGGCCGAGAAGGGAGGAUCACUUGAGCCCAGGAGUUUGAGGCCAGCCUGGGCAACAUAGAGAGACCCCAUCUCUGCAAAAAAAUAAAAAAAAUUAGCUGGGUGUGGCGGUGCACGCCUGUGGUCCCAGCUACACAGGAGGCUAAGGUGGGAGGAUCCCUUGAGCCCAAGAGGUCCAGGCUGCAGCCUGGGUGACAGAGCAAGACCCUGUCUCUAAAAAAAAAAAAAAAAAAAAAAAAUAGAAGGUGUUUCUUCCCCAAUCCUCUCCUUUCAUUUCCCUCCCCGUGAGUACUAUUUGGAAGUCUCACACGGCACUUUUUAAAAACCACUUUAAGUCCGGGUGCAGUGGCUCAUGCCUGUAAUCCCAGUACUUUGGGAGGCCAGGGUGGGUGGAUUACUUGAGAUCAGGAGUUCAAAACCAGCCUGGCCAACAUGGUGAAGCCUCAUCUCUACCAAAAAUACAAAAAUUAGCGGGACACGGUGGCACAUGCCUGUAGUCCCAGCUACUCAGGAGGCUGAGGCAGGAGAAUCGCUUGAACCCGGGAGGUGGAGGUUGCAGUGAGCCGAGAUUGUACUACUGCCCUCUAGUAUGGGUGGCAGAGUGAGACCCUGUCUCAAACAAUAACAACACUUUAACCAGUAUCCGGGAGGGCUGCUGAAGGUGGCCUCUGCUAGGCUUUACACAAGCAGAUGGGUUCUGGAAAGGACUCCACCAAACCAGCCUGGCUUUGCCUUUGGAAGGCCCCUCCCAAGAUGCCCCCACUCGCCACUCACAUGGACUGGGACUCUGUCUUACAAGUUUCCCACUGGCCUGAGCAGAAGGUGGGAGGAAUUUCUGUGGUUUUCUAGGUUGGCCACAGAAUACUACUCUUCCUCCUCCCACUCUUUUUUCCGUAAGAUUUGGGGCUCAACUUACUCUCAAACUCUGGAAGUGAGGAGGUGGCCCAGGCCUGAUCAUGGGGUCUCAUAUGCCCCUGGCCAUAGUGAUUCAUUUCUGGAAACAUCCCUGGGACUCAAGCUGGGACAAUCAGAGUGAAUUUCAGGAAUGUUGGAUGAAUCUCUUAGGAGGGAGGAAAUCUUUCUGCUGGAUUUCUAAAAGCUCAAGUUUUACACUCAGUGCUGCCAUUGGCUCUCUUUGUAUAAUGGAAGGAAGAGUUGUUCAGAGAAUGAAGCUAACAGAGAUGAAACCAAAAAUGGAGAGAUCAUAUGCUGAUGACCAUUUGAGCCCCUUGAUCCCGCCAUGCCUGAAGCCAUCACCCCUUCAACUUGCUAGUUAUGUGAGUCAAUAUGGUUCCUUUUUGGUUUGACCUAGUCUGAAUUAGGCUUUUGUCUCUUGCAGCUAGAAGAGUCCUAAGUCAUACCAGCUUCAUAAACCUUUGGAAUCUGAAUUUACCUGUGGCCUCAUCCAGAACUGUGAGGCAGGCCGAUGACACUCAGUGCCACCUGCAGUAGUGGAGAGUCUGUGGUGAGACUCUACCUUCUGGCACGCUGAUUUCCCUUAGACCCCUCUUGUGGACAGGAAGGCAAAACAAUGAGAGAAGGGAAAGAAAAAAGGGGGGAAAAAAAGGGAGCGGGUUUCCUAGUAAAGUAGAUUGGGCUUGAAUCUCUUCUUUGUCACUCAUGAGCUCUGAGACCUUAGGCAAGUGACUAACUCCCUGGGGCCCCCAUUUUCUCACCUGUGGGACUUGAGUUGCAGUGAGCAUAUAUGGGUACUAGAUUCUAAAGUCAAGGUGAAGGAAAACAUUUCCGUGAAAAUCCCUUAACUCCGCCCCCUUCCACAAGGUAUGGCACAGCCACAAGUCAGCAAAUUGUCGUAAUGUCAGAGACUUGUGAACAAGAGCAACUCCAUCUUGAAUAGGAGCUGGGUAAAAAGGGCUGCAUUCCCGAUGAUUAAGACAUUCUAAGUCACAGGAUGAGAUAGGAGGUCAACAAAAGAUACAGGUCAUAAAGACCUUGCUGAUAAAACAGGUUGCAGUAAGAUGCCAGCUAAAACCCACCAAAACCAAGAUGGUGACCAGAGUGACCUCUGGUCAUCCUCACUGCUACACUCCCACCAGCACCAUGACAGUUUACAAAUGCCAUGGCAACGUCAGGAGGUUACCCUAUAUGGUCUAAAAAGGGGAGGCAUGAAUAAUCCACCCCUUGUUUAGCACAUCAUCAAGAAAUAACCAUAAAAAUGGGCAACCAGCAGCCCUUGGGGCUGUUCUGCCUAUGGAGUAGCCAUUCUUUGAUUCCUUUACUUUCUCAAUAAACUUGCAUUCACUUUAUGGACUUGCCCUGAAUUCUUUCUUGAGCAAGAUCCAAGAAUCCUCUCUUGGGGUCUGGAUUGGGACCACUUUCCUGUAACAAUAAUACUAUCAUCAUAAUGCAGCCAUUUACCCACCUCCCCAUCCUCCCCAUCCCCCACCUCCAAUCCUGCUCCUUAGUUGAGCACCAAUAAAUAUGCAUUUUAAUAAAUAUGCAUUUUAAACUCUAGAUGAGUGAUUCUCAGCCAGGGUGAUUUUGCCCCUCAGGGGAUGUGUGGCAGCACCUGAAGACAUUUUUGGUUGUCAUAACUAGGGGUAGGAAUAAACGCUCCUGGCAUCUAGUGGAUGGAGGCCAGAGAUGCCUCGAAACAUCCUCCAACACACUAGACAGUCCCCACAACUAAUAAUGAUCCAACCCAGAAUGUCAGUAGCGCCAAGGCUGAGAAAUCCUCAGCUAGAAUCCCACUCAGCACAGAGAGCUGCUCAUUCUAGGAAAGGCUGCCAGGAUUGGAGACAACGAGAACAGAUCCAUAUAUUCCAUUUCCAUGCUUCCCGUGUGGCAAGUUCGCACGGGGACACGACAGGUCUACCCCCUUUCAAUGAGGAUUUUUCUCCUUUCCUUUUGGCCAACUGCAGUUAGUUGAAUUUAUGUAAGUUUAAUGCAUGCAUUAUGUAAGUUAAAUGCAUGCAUGGUAUAAAAGUUAAAUGCAUGCAUGCAAUCCAUGUGGCAAUGCUGUUUCCACCUCACAGCAUUACCCUGAGCAUCAGAGGAGGUCUCAACAGAAUGUGCUUUGCACAAGGUGAACCCUUAAGCCUUUGCACUGACUACUUUUAUUAGUUUCACUUGGUGCAUGCCACAUGCACAGUACAUACUCAAUCCAGCCUUGCUGAAUGGGCUUCAAUUGAUAGAGUUUUCUGGGCCUUGUGUGAGAGGAGGUAACAACUCCAAGGAGAUCUGGAUGCACAAUUCUUUCUUUUUUUUUUUUUUUUUUUUUGAGAUGGAGUCUCAACUCUGCCACCCAGGCUGAAGUGCAGUGGCACGAUCUCAACUCACUGAAACCUCCGCCUCCUGGGUUCAAGUGAUUCU